Molecule: long non-coding RNA, 3906 nt
Organism: Quercus robur (English oak)
Lineage: Eukaryota; Viridiplantae; Streptophyta; Magnoliopsida; Fagales; Fagaceae
Exons: 6
Source: RefSeq, a predicted model, not a curated record
AUAGGAGCGAUGCGGACACGGAGGAGAGUAACAGAGAGAGAGAGAGAGAGGCGAUGAAAUCAAAAACCUUCAAAAACUAUUUUGCAGACCCAAAAAACCGUUAACCGCAAAACAAAACCCAAUUCUCUUCUAAAAACUGAAAUUAAAACCCGUUACUCCUCUGCCUUCUUAGAAACCCAAAAAUCAAAACCAUCUCCUUCCCCCAAAAUCAAAAUCCAAAACUUAGAUGAGAAAGAAGUAAGCGAUCAGAGAUGCCAUUCUCACGCAACACCGUUUAAAAGUGAUAAAAUAUAAGGUUUCACUACGUUAAAACACUGUUUCGAACCGUCUUGGUAUAAAAGGGUACUAACCGCUUAAAAAAUAAAAAAACAACAACAGAGAUUGCUACACGGAGAAAGGAGAGAGUGAUCGAGAGAAAAGAGUGAGGGAUAGAGAGACAGAGAUAGAGAGAAGGGCGAUGAAACAGAGAGAGGCCGAGAAAGAGAGAGGCGAUGAAAUAGAGAGAGGAUGAGGCCUGGGACACGGAGAAAGAAACAGAGAAAGAGGCAGAAUGGUUAACACUGCAUCGAUUGGGCACCAUACAUUGCUUUUUUUCCAUUUUUUAGAUUUGGGGUUACGUUUUUGGUCCAGCACCACCCAUCUUCGGCUCCAUUCAAUCACAGCCUCAACGGUGACUUUGAUUCCCUGUUCGUUCUCUGGCCGAGUUCGUCUCUGCAACAGCAUAUUUUUGAAGGUUUACCUAUAAGAAAAAAAAAAAAAAAAAAAAACCGACAUUCAUAAAUGCCUCUCACUAUUAUUGAGAUCGCUAAUAAGGGGCAGCGAGAGUCAGACUAUCAGAGAGGGAGAGAAAAAUCCAUUGUUAGACCAAUCUUUCUCCAAAAUAUUACAGGUAUUGAGUUUCUGGUCUGCAAUGUUUAUAGGAACACAGAUUUGGGAAAAUCAAAGCUUCAGCCUUACCGGUUGCGGUACAAAAUACUAAACCGAAUGAGGAACAACCACCGAGGAAUGAAUAUCAAAACCUUCAUUUGUAUCUAAGAGAAAGAUCUGUGAGGAAGAAGCUUAACUAAAGGAUUGAGCUCUUUCAGGUCACAUGCAAUCACAGCGUAGACCCAUGUAUCUAUGUGGAUUGGAUCAAAAUGCCUGUGGAGGUGAAACUUUUGUAGUGGAUUCGAAUUGCAAAGAGCCCAAGUUUAGGUAUAUAUUUUAUUUUGAAUCCAUAAUGUUUAAUAAAAUGCUUGAAAGAAAAUUCAUUAAUUAUAUAUCUAUCUUGAUGAAUUUAUAAUUUAUUUUCGUUUGUACAGUAUUUUGUUUGGGACUAGAAACAAUUAAAUUUGUGAAAAGUUGAUUGAAAGAACUUACAAUUACAGAUACACAACUUGCGUUCAUUGGGUUUUCUUUAUUGUUGCUCAUGCUGAUGUUGGUUGUAUGAUGUAUCAGCCUCUAAUUGACACAGGUGGAAACAAAUUAACUUACCUUUGGAUAAAAAAGCGGUUAUUUCUUUAAAGGUAUACUUUGUUUUUAACUGUUGACGGUUAAGGAUAAUUUAAAAGUGAAUUUUUAAAAUGAUUACCAUAAUCUACACAUAUUAUAUAUGUCUUGCUUAUUGCAGACUUUUACCAUGUAGAUGGAAGCAAAUUAUCUUAAGUCUAUGAAAUGAGAUGUGCUUAGGGUUAAUAAUUAUAUUCAAGUUUCUUUAGAAGCCUCUAAAGUGACACUCCAUAUUAUCCAGUAAUAUUUAUUUUAAGCAGAAAAUAACUUCCUAGAUGGGAAUAUUUAAGAGUCAUGUCCUUCAACCUAAGAAUACAUGUGACAAAUGUAAAGUGUGUGCAUUAAUGCUAAGUAUGACAAAAACUAAAGAGCGAUAUGGAUAUGAUGAUUUUAUUUUACUUUGAAGAAAAAGACUAUAUAUUGCAAUGAUUGUUAUAUUUAGUUUCACUAAUGAUUGUUAUUAAUGAUUUCUUUUUCAGGCAUAAUGGCUAUAAAACUGUGUUAUUAAAACUUUUGGUUUUGUAUUGCUUUACAAGUGUAAUCUGUGUAGGACAGUCAAGCUCCUUUGUUUGACUUGCUCUUCCUUUACGUUUAAAAAGGUACUACUGAUGCUGUAAUACUAUAUGCCUCUUUUAUGCAGCUUAGGUUGUAUGCAAGGUUUGUUGCAAGAGGAUAUAUUAGUUCCUAAAGCUUGCAAAAGUGCUUUUGGCUUUCAGUAAAUUUCUGUUGUAUCUAUAGCAAUUCAAUAUCUUAAAUUUUGCCUUUAAAAACCAGGCUUUUCCAAGUGGCGCAUAGAAUUGAAAGACUUUCUACAUUCUUUUAGCCAGUAAGACUUUCCUAUUAAGUGCCACAUUAGCUUACUCUCUUCAACCUAUAUUUUAGCAUGCCUGAACUGCUACACAAUCUCUUCUAACCUCUUGACAUUUGCUAUUUCUGUCUCCACUCUUUCCCAUACAUUUGAUCAUUUUGCUAUGAACUCAUUUGGCCUUAACUAUAGGGUUUGUCUUGGGUGAUAAUAUUUAGGUUCUAUUAAACCAUUUCUUUUGUUUAUUUUUCCAUAAUAAUUCUGUCAGUAAGAACAAAUGACUAUAUUUUCCAGGUGUUUAUUUUUCCAAUAAGUAUUUUAUUUUGUAAUUCUCAUUUGAUCCAUCUUCUUUUGUUUCUAUACAAAUAAAUCUCCUGUGGUGGAGCUUAAUGCUCUAAAACAUUGAAAGAGAAUCACAAGUAGCAUAUGCAGUCAAUUCUUCCAAUGUUCAACACAUUUUUUCUUUUGUUUUACUUUGUGGCAAAUAGUGAUGUCUUUAUUUAACUUCAAUUGAACUGGUGCUGCUUUUUUGGUUUUAUUGGAGUCAUUUGCAAUUUGUGGAGCCAAGGAUAAAUGUUAUGUUAAUCAAAAACUGUAUUGAUGGAGCAUGUAAUUACAAUUUUUUUGGUUCAAUGACAAUUAGCGCUGCCCCUAUAUAACUUCAAGUGAGUUGAUGCUUCCUUUUUUCUUUAUUGAAGUCAUCUACAAUUUCUGAAGCCAAGGAUAGAUGUAAUGUUUAUGGAAAAUUGUAUUGAUGCAACAUGUAACUAAUUAGUGAAUGCCAUUAGUAAUUUGCAUUUAGCUUUUGUCUCUUUCUUUUUCUUCUCCUUUUUUCCCCCAAAUUUGCUUUAAUUAUUACAAUUAUUUAAUGCAUUUAUAAAUCUAUGACUUCCCUCUUUAAUAUUUCCAAUAAACCCUCCUUCCUCAUUUACUACUUCUACUUUCUAUUUAUUCUAUUGAAGUGUCAUAUUAUUCAUCCAACUCACAAGACUCCUCAUAGGUCCCAUUAAAACACAAAAUGGUUAACAUUUCUCCGUUAUUUACUCACCCAUUAAAUCAAAUUCAUCGUUUUGGCCUUCCUUUAACUCUCUUUGUUUGGACUCUUCCUCCUUUCAUCAAAUACUUCAAUGCCCGCCUCUUCAGAACUAAAACCCAUUAAUUUGGUUUUUUAUAUUUAUAUAUAGAUUUUCAAUUCUCCUUCUCCGCAGAAGUUGCCAAAGUACAAGCAGGGUUGGAAAGUCUCUUUGAGGCUUGGUGCAUCACAAAGAGGUCCUCUCUUCUCAACAAUGUUCAACUCUCUAUGCAUGGUCAAUGUAACAAUUUGCCUUUUAUGUAAUAAUAAAAAUAAAAGGUGUUUGGCUUCAGCUUUGCUAAGUUUUUUGAGAAAGAGCUUUGCUAAGUUGAUAGGUUAAUUUUCGAAAAUCAUUGGUUUAUAUGUUGUGCUUUGGGUGAAAGCCAUAGACCUUGAAAAGAUAAACGGUUCCAAAGCUACUGCAUGAACCUUCGGAGAACAGUAGUAAAGUUGAUUUGGAAGAACAAUGACUUUCUUAGUAUCAAUCAAUGCCCAUGUAACUAAAGUUCAAUUGGCAAUGAGUAAAAAGUAUUAAUUUUUA